This 323-nucleotide unclassified non-coding RNA is filed under the name Melitaea cinxia (Glanville fritillary). RNAcentral describes it as "misc RNA ENSMCXG00005005100.1". Lineage: Eukaryota; Metazoa; Arthropoda; Insecta; Lepidoptera; Nymphalidae. The record is from RNAcentral.
UAAUGGCACUUGUAACUCAUAUAGGUGCAAAGUUCUCAUCGAUAGAAACGAAUUAAGUUCAAACAGCAGGUAAUUGCUAUAAAUCGUUAAAGAGUUCCCUCGACUAACUUUUGUCUCCAUCAUCAGACUGUAAUGGCACUUAUAACUCAUACAGGUGCAAAGUUCUCAUCAAUAGAAACGAAUUAAGUUCAAACAGCAGGUAAUUGCUACAAAUUGUUGAAGAGUUCCCUCGACUAUCUUUCUUCUCCAUCAUCAGAUCGACUUCAGACCUUUAUUAAAUAGUAGUGCUUUAUAGUACUUAAUGAAAACAUGAUGAAAUUUCA